GCCGGUGUGGCGGAAUUGGCAGACGCACCAAGCUUAAGACUUGGCGGGCAUUGCCCAUCCGGGUUCAACUCCUGGCGCCGGCAC
Molecule: transfer RNA, 84 nt
Filed under: Chloroflexota bacterium
Lineage: Bacteria; Bacillati; Chloroflexota
Description: tRNA-Leu
Rfam family: tRNA
About the family: Transfer RNA (tRNA) molecules are approximately 80 nucleotides in length. Their secondary structure includes four short double-helical elements and three loops (D, anti-codon, and T loops).
Source: RNAcentral